AUGUGGAGCACCAGCGCUGGAUCUAGGCGAGGGAGGCAUGGAUGUGGAGCGGCACGCGAGCGACGGAUUUGGAGCAGCGCCGGAGCAGUGGAGCGGAGGAUCUGGAGCAGAGUAUUCGUCCUCACGGUGCCCAUGUCAUCGUCUUCGUCGGACGUCCCCACCUCGCCGACGCGUUCGAUCUGCGCACACUGUGUUCUCUCGUUGGUGGCACAAGAUGGUCGACGGGUGCAUGUCAUAGAGAGAGACCUGACAGAGCCUGAUAGAAUUGUGGGUGAAUUGUUACAACUUGGAGGUUACCUGAAAUUGAUGGAAUUGGGUCUGCAGGGUAAACUUUGCUCUCUCCUACUCAAAAUGGGUUUCCUAACAGAACCAUAG
This 375-nucleotide ribosomal RNA is filed under the name Triticum aestivum (bread wheat). RNAcentral describes it as "partial small subunit ribosomal RNA". Lineage: Eukaryota; Viridiplantae; Streptophyta; Magnoliopsida; Poales; Poaceae. The record is from RNAcentral.